RNAcentral lists this ribosomal RNA (253 nucleotides) under uncultured bacterium. RNAcentral's name for it is "partial 16S ribosomal RNA". It matches the Rfam family "Bacterial small subunit ribosomal RNA", at positions 524 to 776 of the family's 1533-position model. The record is from RNAcentral.
UACAGAGGGUGCAAGCGUUAAUCGGAAUUACUGGGCGUAAAGCGCGCGUAGGUGGAUUGUUAAGUUGGAUGUGAAAUCCCCGGGCUCAACCUGGGAACUGCAUCCAAAACUGGCAAGCUAGAGUAUGGCAGAGGGUAGUGGAAUUUCCUGUGUAGCGGUGAAAUGCGUAGAUAUAGGAAAGAACACCAGUGGCGAAGGCGACCGCCUGGGCUCAUACUGACACUGAGGUGCGAAAGCGUGGGGAGCAAACAGG